CGUGAGGAACCUGCCUUUCANAGGGGGACAACAGCUGGAAACGGCUGCUAAUACCGCAUAACACAUAGGUGUCGCAUGGCAUUUAUGUCAAAGAUUUAUCGCUGAGAGAUGGCCUCGCGUCUGAUUAGCUAGUUGGUAGGGUAACGGCCUACCAAGGCGACGAUCAGUAGCCGGACUAGAGAGGUUGGCCGGCCACAUUGGGACUGAGAUACGGCCCAGACUCCUACGGGAGGCAGCAG
Molecule: ribosomal RNA, 239 nt
Filed under: uncultured bacterium
Lineage: Bacteria
Description: partial 16S ribosomal RNA
Rfam family: Bacterial small subunit ribosomal RNA
Source: RNAcentral